Molecule: ribosomal RNA, 610 nt
Filed under: uncultured bacterium
Lineage: Bacteria
Description: bacterial SSU rRNA
Rfam family: Bacterial small subunit ribosomal RNA
Source: RNAcentral
GUCGUUGUAAUGAAAUAGAAACGGACAGAGAACUUGUUCGAAGAAAGUGGAAGUAGACUUACAACAAUGGCUUUAGUGGCGGACUGGUGAGUAACGCGUAAGGAACCUGCCUUCUAGAGGGGAAUAACAAUGAGAAAUCAUUGCUAAUACCGCAUAUGCCGAGAGAAUCACAUGGUACAAUCGGGAAAAGAGUAAUCUGCUAGAAGAUGGCCUUGCGUCUGAUUAGAUAGUUGGUGGGGUAACGGCCUACCAAGUCGACGAUCAGUAGCCGGACUGAGAGGUUGAACGGCCACAUUGGGACUGAGAUACGGCCCAGACUCCUACGGGAGGCAGCAGUCGGGAAUAUUGCGCAAUGGAGGAAACUCUGACGCAGUGACGCUGCGUAUAGGAAGAAGGUUUUCGGAUUGUAAACUAUUGUCGUUAGGGAAGAGAAAGGACAGUACCUAAGAAGGAAGCUCCGGCUAACUACGUGCCAGCAGCCGCGGUAAUACGUAGGGAGCGAGCGUUAUCCGGAAUUAUUGGGUGUAAAGGGUGCGUAGACGGGAAGAUAAGUUAGUUGUGAAAUCCCUCGGCUUAACUGAGGAACUGCAACUAAAACUGUUUUUCUUGA